UUGUAAAGCUGGUUGGUCUUCGACCGCGUCUGCAGUUGCGAAGGCGGAAAAUGGAUCAUCUUCUCAAGCCCAAGCGAACGCCAUUAAUGGAGGCGACGCCCAUGCAAUGUCACUCUCGAAAGACGGAGGCAACGCUACUUCCGGAGCGAAUGUGAAAGACGGCGGAAAGGCCAACGCCCUCUCAUCGGCCGCCAAUGGGGCACAAACCGAUGCUGAAGC
Molecule: long non-coding RNA, 219 nt
Organism: Folsomia candida
Lineage: Eukaryota; Metazoa; Arthropoda; Collembola; Entomobryomorpha; Isotomidae
Exons: 3
Source: RefSeq, a predicted model, not a curated record